UACGAAGGGGGCUAGCGUUGCUCGGAAUGACUGGGCGUAAAGGGCGCGUAGGCGGUUCGUACAGUCAGACGUGAAAUUCCCGGGCUCAACCUGGGGACUGCGUUUGAUACGUGCGGGCUUGAGUUCGGAAGAGGGGGGCGGAAUUCCAGGUGUAGCGGUGAAAUGCGUAGAUAUCUGGAGGAACACCGGUGGCGAAGGCGGCAUCCUGGACCAAUAUUGACGCUGAGGUGCGAAAGCGUGGGGAGCAAACAGG
RNAcentral lists this ribosomal RNA (253 nucleotides) under uncultured bacterium. Its description in RNAcentral is "partial 16S ribosomal RNA". It matches the Rfam family "Bacterial small subunit ribosomal RNA", at positions 524 to 776 of the family's 1533-position model. The record is from RNAcentral.